GGGUAGGAAGAGGUCAGGAACCAAGAAGGAAGUGGACGGACCGUGGAGCCCCCGGCCCCCGGCCCUGGAGUUCCCUGGACGUCUCCACACCCCAAAGAGGAGAAAUGAGAGGCUGCUGCCCACGCGAUGGCAAUUUCUCUUCUGCAUUUUCUUGUCAACCGUGGGGGCUAAACGACAUCUGGAGAGACUUCUGCUGAGCCAGACGACGGGACCAGAAGGUGCUCGGUCCAGUGGAGAUGUUGAAAGGGGUGGACCUGCCUUGGCCACUGGGCCCUGUCUGUGCCGGUUUUGAUCUGCAGAGCCUGCCCCGGGGACAAAGCACGGGAGCUGGGCUGCCCCUCGUCUCAGGAAGCCCUCCCUUCCCUGCCUCCCUGAACCCCUUUCUUCUCCUUCCCGCUGUCCUAUCUCUGUAAGAAAUGCAGACAAGAGAAAAUGCCUAUCUGUGUCUCCAGGUGACAGCCAGAGUGAAUGCACAAGCAUUUGUCACCAAGUGUGUCCACAGACGGCCGUAGACUCCACCAUCGGAAGGGUAGACUCCAUGCUGGAGGCCACCCCACCUUCCAAUCCAAACGCAGCCUUGGGGCAGGGUCCCCGAGCCUCCAGUUUGUGAUGCAAAGCUUUGGUUGUUUUUCUUUUUUUUUUUUUUUUUUAAAGACUCAAGCCCUACGGAAGCAUUUCCGUUCAAGACGAAAUUGUUUAAUUGGACAGAGGAAAGAGUCUCGGGGGAUUCAGAGGGAAGGAGGCUGAACUCUGUGCAUUUUCUUUAUCCGCUCUUAUCUUAAACCCUGUGUCAGAGAGGGUAAACAGACGCUUCUAUUUCUGUGCAUCUGAGUUGGCAACACCAACGUGUUGUGCACAUAAAGGUACAUAUUGGCUUUUUAUGAGACGCUGGGUUAAACACCCUUCAUCUUUCUGGAUGCGCUCCUGUACGCGACAGAUUCGGAAAUCCUAAAAGCAAAUCUUAGCAGAGCAAACACAUUUUCCCUGUAGAAGUGCAGUCACAGAAGAGAUUACAUUCCCCUGGGACUGGCCCCCUACAUUCAGCGGUAAUAUUAGAGCAUCAUUCUAACACACAUGUAUACAUGUAUAAUUUCCAAAUCCACUCACACCAGCUCCAUUUUGAUCGUGGGAAUGCCUUGCCAACGGCAGGGGGAGAAAUUACAAGUGGAUCUGGUCUUUGUCCCUGGUGAAGGCUGGUGCGGCUAAACAUCCAGUUUGGUGACUGACUCACAUACCUUCUCAUCGCUGCUUAGAAACGGUGACGGCAAAAGCCCAGAGACAUCCCUCACCUGUUUGAGGGGCUCCGGCUCCGAAGCAUACUUAGUGUUUACCCUUGAAAAGGUCAGGGCCUUAGAAAAAGAGGGAAAUCUAAUAACCAUGCAUAGUUUUGUUUUGUUUUGUUUUUUUCAGGUGAUCAGUCCACCGGUUCGAUAGCAACAACAGCCUGCUUCGUCCCAGAGUGGGCAUGCAGUUUCGAGCUAACUGGUCGUGGCUAGAAUAGCACUAAGAUGCAGAUUUGAGGGCACCCAGCUAGACUCUGGAAUUGGGUUUGGAUUUGACAGUAACCAACAUAUGAAAUCUGGGGCACUGACCCUUCAUUUCCUCAUUUAUAAACUGGGGAUGAUACUAGUACAACCUAAGGCACAGCCGUCUUGUGAAAAUUGAAUAAAACAUGGAGCACGAUGCCUGGGACGCACUUGGUGAAUGUUAGCUGCUGUCAUUUUUAUUCUUUUUCAUGAGAGGGAUUAUUUACUGGAUUGGGAGUGAACACCGAAAGUGGCAAUCCGAUUGGAAAAAAAUUGGACACAUUUUACCCCAGAAUAACUUGUGCAUAGUCAUGAAACAAAAUACAGUCAGAUUCGUUGGUGGGGUCUUGCGUUCCCAUCCCUGCCUGCUGGGGGUCUGGCCAAGGUCCUGGCUGGGAUCCGAGGAGUCUUCUUUCGUAUCAUGUCCUUGCCUCUUUUUCUCAGCCUCUCUGUGAGUGAGACCAGAGGGCGUCACAACAGCCCACGCCGGCCUGACACCGUCCCGACUCCAGGACCGACUCUGCGCUCUGGAACAUGCUUCUCCUCUUCUGUGGCUGAGGAAAGAUCAUGGCAGGUCUCCCUGAAAACACCCCCCAGAAAUGCCUGCCAACAUUCAGAGAUGAGGUGGCAAAAGGUGAGACCUUCCAAGACAGAAGACAAAGAGGCAGCCAUGCCUGAGCAAAUGAUUUCCCAUGGUUGCUUCCCUCCCUGGCUACACGGGCCCCUUGGCUAAGAGGUGCACAAUCCGGGCCAGAGCGAACAUACUCAGCACGGCGGGUCCAGCUGCUAGACAAGCUGAUUCUCAAGGUCACAGGAAGAAUCUUGACAGCAUCCUUCUGCGCCCUAGACCACACAGGGCUAAGAGCUGAUGCGCUGCUCUCACCUGCCCGGGUGGAUUCCAGAAUCCCCUCAUGCGUCCGCAGCAACAGGAGGGGAGAAACCAGGGGACUCUGCCCAAGAGCUCGAUGAGACGAGUACAUCCGAUGACAGACGCUUACAUGGUGGCUCCCGGGAAGGUCAUUGCCACUGCACGUCUAGCAAAAGCUAGAGCGUAGUUCCCUGUGCUGUGCAGUAGGUCCGUGUUGAUUAUCUCUUUUCCAUGUCGUCACGUGUAUAUACGUGAAUCUCAAACUCCUAAUUUACACCCCCUCGUCCCCUCUUUGGUAACCAUAUGUUUGUUUUCUAAGCCGAUGAGUUUCUGUUUCGUAAAAAAAAAAAAAAA
RNAcentral lists this long non-coding RNA (2748 nucleotides) under Sus scrofa (pig). RNAcentral's name for it is "lncRNA (ENSSSCG00025074292.1, ENSSSCG00055009658.1)". Lineage: Eukaryota; Metazoa; Chordata; Mammalia; Artiodactyla; Suidae. The record is from RNAcentral.